Molecule: ribosomal RNA, 507 nt
Filed under: uncultured bacterium
Lineage: Bacteria
Description: partial 16S ribosomal RNA
Rfam family: Bacterial small subunit ribosomal RNA
Source: RNAcentral
ACUCAAAUGAAUUGACGGGGGCCCGCACAAGCGGUGGAGCAUGUGGUUUAAUUCGACGCAACGCGAAGAACCUUACCUGGGCUUGAACUACUGGUAGUAAGAUUUCCGAAAGGAAAGAUGACCCGUAAAGUCGGAUGCCAGCAGAGGUGCUGCAUGGCUGUCGUCAGCUCGUGUCGUGAGAUGUUGGGUUAAGUCCCGCAACGAGCGCAACCCUUAUCCUAUGUUGCCAAGUCCGUAAUGGACGGAACUCUUAGGAAACCGCCUCGGAUAACGGGGAGGAAGGUGGGGAUGACGUCAAGUCACCAUGGCCUUUAUGUCCAGGGCUACACACGUGCUACAAUGGCCGGUACAGCGAGCAGCUAAUCCGCAAGGAGGAGCAAAUCUCUAAAAGCCGGCCCCAGUUCAGAUAGUGGGCUGCAAUUCGCCCACUUGAAGGCGGAAUCGCUAGUAAUCGGAGAUCAGCAGGCUCCGGUGAAUACGUUCCCGGGCCUUGUACACACCGCCCGU